RNAcentral lists this ribosomal RNA (598 nucleotides) under uncultured bacterium. RNAcentral describes it as "bacterial SSU rRNA". It matches the Rfam family "Bacterial small subunit ribosomal RNA", at positions 193 to 804 of the family's 1533-position model. The record is from RNAcentral.
CCUUCGGGGGAAAGACUUUUCGGAGAGGGGAUUGCCCCGCGUUGGGAUUUGGGUAGUUGGUGAGGUAUCGGCUUCACCAAGCCGGACGAUCCCAUAGCUGGUUUGAGAGGAUGAUCAGCAACACUGGGACUGAGACACGGCCCAGACUCCUACGGGAGGCAGCAGUGGGGAAUUUUGGACAAUGGGCGAAAUCUUGAUCCAGCCAUGCCGCGUGAGUGAUGAAGCCCCCUAGGGUCGUAAAGCUCUUUCGCCAGGGAUGAUAAUGACAGUACCUGGUAAAGAAACCCCGGCUAACUCCGUGCCAGCAGCCGCGGUAAUACGGAGGGGGUUAGCGUUGUUCGGAAUUACUGGGCGUAAAGCGCACGUAGGCGGAUUAGUCAGUCAGAGGUGAAAUCCCAGGGCUCAACCCUGGAACUGCCUUUGAUACUGCUAGUCUUGAGUUCGAGAGAGGUGAGUGGAAUUCCGAGUGUAGAGGUGAAAUUCGUAGAUAUUCGGAGGAACACCAGUGGCGAAGGCGGCUCACUGGCUCGAUACUGACGCUGAGGUGCGAAAGUGUGGGGAGCAAACAGGAUUAGAUACCCUGGUAGUCCACACCGUA